GGGGUUGUAGCUCAGUGGUAGAGCACUUGCCUAGCACAUGUGAGGCACUGGGUUCAAUCCCCAGAACCACA
RNAcentral lists this transfer RNA (71 nucleotides) under Ictidomys tridecemlineatus (thirteen-lined ground squirrel). RNAcentral describes it as "Spermophilus tridecemlineatus (thirteen-lined ground squirrel) tRNA". It matches the Rfam family "tRNA". From Rfam's summary of the family: Transfer RNA (tRNA) molecules are approximately 80 nucleotides in length. Their secondary structure includes four short double-helical elements and three loops (D, anti-codon, and T loops). Further hydrogen bonds mediate the characteristic L-shaped molecular structure. tRNAs have two regions of fundamental functional importance: the anti-codon, which is responsible for specific mRNA codon recognition, and the 3' end, to which the tRNAs corresponding amino acid is attached (by aminoacyl-tRNA synthetases). tRNAs cope with the degeneracy of the genetic code in two manners: having more than one tRNA (with a specific anti-codon) for a particular amino acid; and 'wobble' base-pairing, i.e. permitting non-standard base-pairing at the 3rd anti-codon position. The record is from Rfam by way of RNAcentral. Lineage: Eukaryota; Metazoa; Chordata; Mammalia; Rodentia; Sciuridae.